Molecule: ribosomal RNA, 253 nt
Filed under: uncultured bacterium
Lineage: Bacteria
Description: partial 16S ribosomal RNA
Rfam family: Bacterial small subunit ribosomal RNA
Source: RNAcentral
GACGAAGGGGGCUAGCGUUGUUCGGAAUUACUGGGCGUAAAGCGCGUGUAGGCGGUUGUCCAAGUUGGAUGUGAAAGCCUUGAGCUUAACUCAAGAAAUGCAUUCAGGACUGGAUGGCUAGAGGACCGGAGAGGAUAGUGGAAUUCCCAGUGUAGUGGUGAAAUACGUAGAGAUUGGGAAGAACACCAGUGGCGAAGGCGGCUAUCUGGACGGUUUCUGACGCUAAGACGCGAAAGCGUGGGGGGCAAACAGG